This 374-nucleotide ribosomal RNA is filed under the name uncultured Pelotomaculum sp. RNAcentral's name for it is "bacterial SSU rRNA". It matches the Rfam family "Bacterial small subunit ribosomal RNA", at positions 1009 to 1382 of the family's 1533-position model. Lineage: Bacteria; Bacillati; Bacillota; Clostridia; Eubacteriales; Desulfotomaculaceae. The record is from RNAcentral.
CGUUUUCACCCUCGGGUGACAGGGAGACAGGUGGUGCAUGGUUGUCGUCAGCUCGUGUCGUGAGAUGUUGGGUUAAGUCCCGCAACGAGCGCAACCCCUACGUUUAGUUGCUAACGCGUGAAGGCGAGCACUCUAGACGAACUGCCGUUGACAAAACGGAGGAAGGUGGGAUGACGUCAAAUCAUCAUGCCCCUUAUGUUCUGGGCUACACACGUGCUACAAUGGCCGGUACAGACGGACGCAAAGCCGCGAGGUGGAGCAAAUCCUAAAAAGCCGGUCUCAGUUCGGAUUGCAGGCUGCAAUUCGCCUGCAUGAAGUCGGAAUCGCUAGUAAUCGCAGGUCAGCAUACUGCGGUGAAUACGUUCCCGGGCCUU